CUGAGUAGUAUUCCAUUAUGUAUAUACAUACCACAGCUUCUUUAUCCAGUCAUCUGUCAGUGGACAUUUAGGCUGCUUCCAUGUCUUGGCUGUUGUACACAGUGCUGCUGUGAACAUUGCAGUGCAGGUGUCUGUUUGAAUUAAGGUUCCAUUCAAAUACAC
Molecule: non-coding RNA, 162 nt
Organism: Vicugna pacos (alpaca)
Lineage: Eukaryota; Metazoa; Chordata; Mammalia; Artiodactyla; Camelidae
Source: RefSeq, a predicted model, not a curated record